Molecule: transfer RNA, 68 nt
Filed under: Marmota monax (woodchuck)
Lineage: Eukaryota; Metazoa; Chordata; Mammalia; Rodentia; Sciuridae
Rfam family: tRNA
About the family: Transfer RNA (tRNA) molecules are approximately 80 nucleotides in length. Their secondary structure includes four short double-helical elements and three loops (D, anti-codon, and T loops).
Source: Rfam by way of RNAcentral
GUGGUGGCUCAGUAGUAGAGCGCUCACCUAGGACAUGCGAGGUCCUGGGUUCAAUCCUCAGCACCACA